UUCCAUUCUACAGAUGAGGGACUGUCUAGCAGGAACUUGGCACUUCCUUGAGUUUUUGACGCUUCAGAAACAGAGGCCAGAAUCAGAACCAAGGUACUGUUCAUCAGCCCGGAGCUUGCCGACUAGGCCAGGCUGAGUGGUCAGUAAGCCCUAGGAAUCUAUCCAUGUUUGGCUCCCCAACACAUGCACAAACACAUGCCAUCACACACAGUUCUGGGACCUGAGCUCAAGACCUCAGAUCUACAUGGCAGGUGCUUUGCCACUGAGCCAUCUUCCCCUCUACGGAUGUAUAAGGAAUCUGUCAUACCACCAUAGAGCCAUCAAUAGUCUGAUCUCAACAAUCUAGCUGCC
Molecule: long non-coding RNA, 351 nt
Organism: Grammomys surdaster
Lineage: Eukaryota; Metazoa; Chordata; Mammalia; Rodentia; Muridae
Exons: 3
Source: RefSeq, a predicted model, not a curated record